RNAcentral lists this ribosomal RNA (984 nucleotides) under Cichlidogyrus thurstonae. RNAcentral's name for it is "LSU rRNA". It matches the Rfam family "Eukaryotic large subunit ribosomal RNA", at positions 74 to 787 of the family's 3401-position model. The record is from RNAcentral. Lineage: Eukaryota; Metazoa; Platyhelminthes; Monogenea; Dactylogyridea; Ancyrocephalidae.
AUUCUCCUAGUAACGGCGAGUGAACGGAGAUUAGCCCAUCACCGAAGCCUGCGUGUGUUUGCAUGCUAGGCAAUGUGGUGUUAAUGCUUGUACCUGGGAUCGUGUACCUACCCGAAGUCUAAAUCCGAUUGUGGCUUUGGAUUCAUUCCAUAGCGGGUGAAAGUCCCGUGCGGGUAGGACUCAUUCUAAUCACACGGUCCUCAGAUGUGCAUGCAUUCGAGUCGGAUUGCUUGAGAAUGCAGUCCAAAGUGGGUGGUAAACUCCAUCCAAGGCUAAAUACUGGCACGAGUCCGAUAGUAGACAAGUACCGUGAGGGAAAGUUGAAAAGUACUCUGAAGAGAGAGUAAAUAGUACGUGAAGCCGAUUGCAGGGAAGCUGGUGGAGUCAAGCUUCGUGCUUGAGGGAUUGAUGCUGGGAGCAGGUGUGUGAUUUGGAUGUGAGGUUGGACGACUUGGAAUAAGUUGGGCGUGUUCUGAAUGCGCUUCAAGUCAUUCUGGGUAGAGUGUUAUGAGCCAGCCUCGCUUUCCUACUCUCAGUGUUGUAUUCUUCGCUGCACAGGCCACAGUCAAUAGGUGCAUGCGGUAUGAAGGCCUAACUGUGCUUCGGCGGGUGCAAGCUCUCCGGGCGCAGGAUGGCAGGUGCUGUCUUCGGGCCUUGUGUUCGUUGAUAGUUGUUGUGGUUUUGACCGGCUGGUCUUCAUACUGUAUUGUGCUUAUUGCCUAUCGAUGGCGUAACUUCCUCGGAAGUUGCGUUGUGAAGAACUGUGGCUCUGAGGUAGACUUUCCACCGGACCCGUCUUGAAACACGGACCAAGGAGUUUAACAUGCGCGCAAGUCAAUGGGCAUAUUACGAAACCCAAAGGCGCAAUGAAAGUAAAAGCUUCGGCUUAGGUGUGAUCCUGAUUUGCUCCUCACAGGGCGGUCGGGCGCAGCACCGGCCCGUCUCGUAAUGUUGUCACUGUGGCUACGGUUAUGGUGCUGCAUU